Molecule: long non-coding RNA, 743 nt
Organism: Oxyura jamaicensis (ruddy duck)
Lineage: Eukaryota; Metazoa; Chordata; Aves; Anseriformes; Anatidae
Exons: 2
Source: RefSeq, a predicted model, not a curated record
GACCACAAUUUUCUUCUGCAAAUACUGAAAGGCAAUUCUUUGCCCCUGUGCCACCAGCUGCGCGGAGAAGCACUUAAUUCCUGCGCUGGAUGGACGGUGAGCAGCCACCACCCCCGUGCUGAACGGAGCUCGGCGGGGAGCAGCGAGGGCACUGAGCUCUGCAGGAUGGCACGUGGGGUCUGGCAUGGGGGUGUUGGUGGGACAAUCGCUACAAGAAGAUGAGCUGGGUGCUGAGUUAGGGUGGGGACAUGAGCUGGAGCUCUUCCUCCUCAGCCUGGGCUGCCUCGCAAGCUGCCUUUGCUCUGCCUUUCUCAAGGGAACCUCAAGGAUGGUGAAACGACUCUAGAAAAUACAGUCUGAGGCAUUUUUAAAGAUGAGUCAGCUAGAACAUUGGUCAAACAUGGAUUAUGAUGAAAUUCUAGUUUCUUAUCAGAAAAAAAUCACUGCUGCAAUUUUAAUUUUUCAUUAGCGAUACCCAUACUACGUGGAUUCAUAAACCAGUUCAUUUAAGCCCAGCUGAGCUCUUUGUAUUUUACAAGCUAUUAUGGGCAACAGAUAAUAUUAAAAUGAAUAUUGAAAAUAUUAGAAUUGCUCUGUUUCCCUCCUUACUCCUGAGCAAGCAAGAGCACAUUUGUUGUCCUCCUUGCAUUCGGAGGAGAACACGAGUAAAUUCAAACGCUUUUAAGCAGUGUGAUUGAUGUAUUUCAUCUCACAGCUAUGUGAUCUUCUGUCUUUUCACCAUC